UAGGGAAUCUUCGGCAAUGGACGAAAGUCUGACCGAGCAACGCCGCGUGAGUGAAGAAGGUUUUCGGAUCGUAAAACUCUGUUGUUAGAGAAGAACAAGUACGUUAGUAACUGAACGUCCUCUGACGGUAUCUAACCAGAAAGCCACGGCUAACUACGUGCCAGCAGCCGCGGUAAUACGUAGGUGGCAAGCGUUGUCCGGAUUUAUUGUGCGUAAAGCGAGCGUAGGCGGUUUCUAAAGUCUGAUGUGAAAGGCCCCGGCUCAACCGGGGAGGGUCAUUGGAAACUGGGAGACUUGAGUGCAGAAGAGGAGAGUGGAAUUCCGUGUGUAGCGGUGAAAUGCGUAGAUAUAUGGAGGAACAGCAGUGGCGAAGGCGGCUCUCUGGUCUGUAACUGACGCUGAGGCUGGAAAGCGUGGGGAGCAAACAGG
Molecule: ribosomal RNA, 429 nt
Filed under: Gemmatimonadota bacterium
Lineage: Bacteria; Pseudomonadati; Gemmatimonadota
Description: Gemmatimonadetes bacterium partial 16S ribosomal RNA
Rfam family: Bacterial small subunit ribosomal RNA
Source: RNAcentral